GAUGAACGCUGGCGGCGUGCCUAAUACAUGCAAGUCGAGCGAACGGACGAGAAGCUUGCUUCUCUGAUGUUAGCGGCGGACGGGUGAGUAACACGUGGAUAACCUACCUAUAAGACUGGGAUAACUUCGGGAAACCGGAGCUAAUACCGGAUAAUAUUUUGAACCGCAUGGUUCAAAAGUGAAAGACGGUCUUGCUGUCACUUAUAGAUGGAUCCGCGCUGCAUUAGCUAGUUGGUAAGGUAACGGCUUACCAAGGCAACGAUGCAUAGCCGACUUGAGAGGGUGAUCGGACACACGGGAACUGAGACACGGUCCAGACUCCUACGGGAGGCAGCAGUAGGGAAUCUUCCGCAAUGGGCGAAAGCCUGACGGAGCAACGCCGCGUGAGUGAUGAAGGUCUUCGGAUCGUAAAACUCUGUUAUUAGGGAAGAACAUAUGUGUAAGUAACUGUGCACAUCUUGACGGUACCUAAUCAGAAAGCCACGGCUAACUACGUG
This 497-nucleotide ribosomal RNA is filed under the name uncultured bacterium. RNAcentral describes it as "partial 16S ribosomal RNA". It matches the Rfam family "Bacterial small subunit ribosomal RNA", at positions 28 to 507 of the family's 1533-position model. The record is from RNAcentral.